CGGGGGCAGCUACCAUGCAGUCGACGAUGACCACUUCGGUGGGGAUUAGUGGCGAACGGGUGAGUAACAGGGGGAAAUCUGCCCUGCACUCUGGGACAAGCCCUGGAAACGGGGUCUAAUACCGGAUACUGAUCCGUCUGGGCAUCCAGAUGGUUCGAAAGCUCCGGCGGUGCAGGAUGAGCCCCCGGCCUAUCAGCUUGUUGGUGAGGUAGGGGCUCACCAAGGCGACAACGGGUAGCCGGCCUGAGAGGGCGACCGGCCACACUGGGACUGAGACACGGCCCAAACUCCUACGGGAGGCAGCAGUGGGGAAUAUUGCACAAUGGGCGAAAGCCUGAUGCAGCGACGCCGCGUGAGGGAUGACGGCCUUCGGGUUGUAAACCUCUUUCAGCAGGGAAGAAGCGAAAGUGACGGUCCCUUCUUAAGAAGCGCCGGCUAACUACGUGCCAGCAGCCGCGGUAAUACGUAGGGCGCGAGCGUUGUCCGGAAUUAUUGGGCGUAAAGAGCUCGUAGGCGGCUUGUCACGUCGGUUGUGAAAGCCCGGGGCUUAACCCCGGGUCUGCAGUCGAUACGGGCAGGCUAGAGUUCGGUAGGGGAGAUCGGAAUUCCUGGUGUAGCGGUGAAAUGCGCAGAUAUCAGGAGGAACACCGGUGGCGAAGGCGGAUCUCUGGGCCGAUACUGACGCUGAGGAGCGAAAGCGUGGGGAGCGAACAGGAUUAGAUACCCUGGUAGUCCACGCCGUAAACGGUGGGCACUAGGUGUGGGCAACAUUCCACGUUGUCCGUGCCGCAGCUAACGCAUUAAGUGCCCCGCCUGGGGGAGUACGGCCGCAAGGCUAAAACUCAAAGGAAUUGACGGGGG
This 861-nucleotide ribosomal RNA is filed under the name Streptomyces collinus. RNAcentral's name for it is "bacterial SSU rRNA". It matches the Rfam family "Bacterial small subunit ribosomal RNA", at positions 40 to 919 of the family's 1533-position model. Lineage: Bacteria; Bacillati; Actinomycetota; Actinomycetes; Kitasatosporales; Streptomycetaceae. The record is from RNAcentral.